AUUGAACGCUGGCGGCAGGCCUAACACAUGCAAGUCGAGCGGAUGAAGGGAGCUUGCUCCUGGAUUCAGCGGCGGACGGGUGAGUAAUGCCUAGGAAUCUGCCUGGUAGUGGGGGAUAACGUCCGGAAACGGGCGCUAAUACCGCAUACGUCCUGAGGGAGAAAGUGGGGGAUCUUGGGACUUAACGCUUUCAGAGGAGCCUAGGUCGGAUUAGCUAGUUGGUGGGGUAAAGGCCUACCAAGGCGACGAUCCGUAACUGGUCUGAGAGGAUGAUCAGUCACACUGGAACUGAGACACGGUCCAGACUCCUACGGGAGGCAGCAGUGGGGAAUAUUGGACAAUGGGCGAAAGCCUGAUCCAGCCAUGCCGCGUGUGUGAAGAAGGUCUUCGGAUUGUAGAGCACUUUAAGUUGGGAGGAAGGGCAGUAAGUUAAUACCUUGCUGUUUUGACGUUACCAACAGAAUAAGCACCGGCUAACUUCGUG
RNAcentral lists this ribosomal RNA (484 nucleotides) under uncultured bacterium. Its description in RNAcentral is "partial 16S ribosomal RNA". It matches the Rfam family "Bacterial small subunit ribosomal RNA", at positions 30 to 507 of the family's 1533-position model. The record is from RNAcentral.